UUAUUAGUAUGAGUUGUGAAUGAGUAUAUUUUGCGGGCGGCCUUGCUUUUAUACAGCGGGCGGCACGCGCGACUUUCUGAUGUAACGCGGUGUUAUCUUGCGCGGGCGCACGCGGGCGCGCCUGCCGAGCCUGUUUCAGCCAGCACGAGUCAGUGAUGCUUUCUGCAAAACGGAGGGAAAAACUUAUUUUCAUCGCCGCGACAAGGUGAUGUAACAAAACAUGCGUCUUGCCGACCACCGAAGAUGCUGCAUCCGCGUAUUGCUGACGUUACCUGUACUGCGUUUAGCGACUUCUAAAUGGUCAGGUUGGCGGCAUCUGGUCAGGCCGUGAAGAGCGUGCUCCUUGCGAAACUAUAUUACG
Molecule: long non-coding RNA, 361 nt
Organism: Plodia interpunctella (Indianmeal moth)
Lineage: Eukaryota; Metazoa; Arthropoda; Insecta; Lepidoptera; Pyralidae
Exons: 3
Source: RefSeq, a predicted model, not a curated record